Molecule: long non-coding RNA, 1666 nt
Organism: Orcinus orca (killer whale)
Lineage: Eukaryota; Metazoa; Chordata; Mammalia; Artiodactyla; Delphinidae
Exons: 2
Source: RefSeq, a predicted model, not a curated record
GGGCGGCCGCGGCCCCAGCCCAGGAGCGAGUCCCGCGCCGCAGCCUCAACCGCGGCGCGGGGUGGGUUCUGGAGGCCCUCGGAGCGCUCCGGCCAGGGACGCGCGUAACCACGCCUUAUACCCAGUUGACGCUAAAGCACGUCUACAGACAUUCCCAUUUGAUCUACUCAACCACUCUCGGAUGCGGGGAGGGCUGAUUGGCUUAGCCAGGAUCCCCCAGCUAGCAGGUGGCACAGCCUGAAGAAGUGCGACCUGGGUCUCCUGGACGCCCCACCCAGGGUUCCGUGCAGCCUCUUGUGCGGACAUUGAGGGAGUUCCUCGCAGGAGCAGGCCCAGCACUGGGCACCCGACGUACUGAGAUGAACGUCUGUCUAAGAGUUCCCGCUCUGGAGAAAUCCUCUCAGUCCAAGAAAAUUUGGGAGACUCUGCUUGCGGUGAGGGAGGGCACAAAGGCAACGAGUCCCAGGUGCCCAGAGCUCAAGUCAGAGCAAAGGGAAUACAAAGUUCCUAGUUCUCUGUUCCCCACUCCGUGGUACUGGAAGAGGUGUCCCGUUGCAUCUGCCGCGUUGGACCCUGGGCAGACCCCCUCCAGCCCCUCCCCUCGAGGCUGUACCUGGUCACAAGCCGGGCAGCGCGGCCGCAGCAGCUCUGCGUGAUGACGGCCGCAGUAGAGACGCCCAUCGUGGUAGAAGUAGAUGAGGUUUAUCAGGGCCUGGCCACAGGCCUGGCAGGCAAAGCAAGCCCGGUGCCAGCAGCGCUGCUCUCCUGCCCGAGCUGUGAACACUCCGUACUCCCCUGGCCUCAGCCGCUCCCUGCACUGCGGGGUGCGGGUGCUGCGCUGGUCAGAGGCCACACCACCCUCCUACCUUCUCUCCUGGCUCUUCCAUCCCAGCCUCAACCUAACUGUUCUCCCCAUAUUCUGGCAAGCCCACCUCCACUGCAGGCUCCACGAAGAACCCCUAAAUUUGGUUUCCCUUUUUCCUAAGCUUUGCCAAACUGUCAAUCCCCAAACCCCUUUUCCCCCUCCAGAGUCCCAGAAGCCAGCCCCUUCUGAAGAAGUGAGAGGGCAAAGAGGAGGAAGGGGAAUAUUGGGGGGAGGGUGCUACAUACCUUUUCACAGGUGCAUUCUUCAAGCUUGGGAGGUACUAGGCGGGCCACCCCCUGUCCCAGGGCCUCCCGCCUCCGCUGGGCACAGAAGAGCCGCAGCUCAGCCAGCUCCUCCUCCCCAGGGGCCAGGCAAUAGUGCUCCUGCAGAAACAGAGGUCCACUGUGACCGGGAGAGCCCCAGCAGGCAAGGUUGAAGUUUGACUGGAGAGGGGAGGUUUAGCUGCUGGGUCAAAGGAAGGUUGUGAAACCUCAGGGAGGUGCAGGAGAUAACAGCACAGAAGGGUACUGAGGAGAGGGAAGGAGGGAAAGAACUGGCAUAAGUCCACCUCCGUCUCACUCCCCCCACCCCAGGAAUGGUGAUCGCUCAGGUCCUGACAGCCCUACAGUACUUAGCCCAUCUCCAUAUAUUUAGAUCCUGGCUCCCAAUGAGCUGUAGCUUAAUAUCACUUCCCACUGUAUUUUCCCUAUUUACUCCAUAUUCUCCUGCCUCGCCUCCCCAGCUGAACUGGAAGCCUUUAGACUGGGCACACAGAGGCCCUCAAUAAAUGCUUAACCACCA